UCCCCAGUGGCGCAAUCGGUUAGCGCGUGGUACUUAUAAUGCCGAGGUUGUGAGUUCAAUCCUCACCUGGGGAA
Molecule: transfer RNA, 74 nt
Filed under: Trichonephila clavata
Lineage: Eukaryota; Metazoa; Arthropoda; Arachnida; Araneae; Nephilidae
Description: tRNA-Ile
Rfam family: tRNA
About the family: Transfer RNA (tRNA) molecules are approximately 80 nucleotides in length. Their secondary structure includes four short double-helical elements and three loops (D, anti-codon, and T loops).
Source: RNAcentral